CUUUGAACGAGAUGUAUAUCAAUUUAUUAAAUCCUGCAUUUCGAUCAGAUGGAUUAAAAAUGUAUCCGACACUUGUCAUACGUGGUUAUUAAAAACUGGAAGAUACAAAAGUUAUGCACCGAGUGUAUUGAUCGAUCUUAUAGCUUGUAUUCUGUCCUUAAUACCACCGUGGACACGGGUUUAUCGCGUACGUGAUAUACCUGUGCCAUUAGUAAGUAUAUCAUAUGAAGAUACUAUGCAAGAUAUUCUAGUUGGUUUACUCAGAUUAAAGAAAUGUACUUGAAAGAUUUAUUUUGUAGACUAUAUGAUGUAUACAUGUAUCAAUAUGUAAUUAAUAAUUAUUAAUAAAUUUUAUAAUUUCUUGUA
Nylanderia fulva is the source of this 366-nucleotide non-coding RNA. The record is from RefSeq and is a predicted model, not a curated record. Lineage: Eukaryota; Metazoa; Arthropoda; Insecta; Hymenoptera; Formicidae.